GAGGAACGCAGCAGCCACAGGGAGGUGGCGGUGCCUUGGCUUCGC
This 45-nucleotide non-coding RNA is filed under the name Sexangularia sp. CB-2014. The record is from RNAcentral. Lineage: Eukaryota; Tubulinea; Elardia; Arcellinida.